RNAcentral lists this small RNA (1011 nucleotides) under Arabidopsis thaliana (thale cress). RNAcentral describes it as "ATSL048870". Lineage: Eukaryota; Viridiplantae; Streptophyta; Magnoliopsida; Brassicales; Brassicaceae. The record is from RNAcentral.
UUUUUUUCUGUUUAUGUGGCAGUCCACAAUUUUUCUUACUCUUUAUUUUUAUUUUUUUAUUUUUGUAAAGAUCUAACUUCACUUCAAUCUCACAAAAACACGAAUCAACUUCAGCACUAAGAAUCGAAUUGAUCAGAACUGAAAAAAAGUAAAAGAAAAGCUGAACACAGAGAAUUUAACGAGUUCACGUUCCAAACCGGAACGCUACGUCUCGCCGGAGAAACCUCUCCGGAAAUCCACUAGAACUUGGGAACUUAGUCUCUGUUACAAUGCUUUCAAGCUUUCUCUCACUACACUCCUCUCUCUCUUUGAUCUCAACAAACUCUUAUCACGAUCUAACGGAAUUACAGAGAAGAAGAAGAAGAAGAUAUAGUUACAGAGCUCAUGCGAAAAGACCAAAACGCCCUCAAGCUUGUUAUGACUUUAGUCAGCUCGCCUCACGUGUUUCUCACGUGCUUCGCUUGAAUCACAACAGACUUCGAACCCUCUCUUUCACCGAGAGUUUCUCCCACACUUAGACCCGAAGACUAAAAUCUGAGUCACUUCUUACAAUUCUCCACCUUGACUCUGAUUGUCUUCCUUGUCUCAACUUGUUCUAGUUCUUGGAUCUCCCCUCCAGUACCUGAGAUUCACCUCUCAGUUCUCAGUAACUCGGAGCAUAUGCAAUGCUCCUUCAAACUUCUCCACAGGCAACACCUUAGUAAAAAUGUCUACAGGAUUGCACUCACUUGCAAUCUUCACCACUUUAACCAGACCUGCAUUUAUGAUAUCUCGAAUGAAAUGUAACCUGAUAUCAAUAUGCUUUGUCCUUUCGUGAUGUACAAAGUUCUUUGCCAAAGCAGUAACACUCUCUGAAUCACAAUUCACCUCCACACUCUCCUGUGAAAAACCAAGUUCUUCAGAAAAACCUCUCAGCCACAAAGCCUCUUUAACAACAUCGGUUAAUGCCAUAUAUUCUGCCUCUGUAGUAGAGAUAGCUACCACCUUCUGCUGCCGUGAUUUCCAAUUAAU